GGGUGCUUGUAAAAACAAAAAGCACAUUUGCGUUGAUGUGGCAGGAACAGUAACCAUUGAGGAGGGAGCAAAGAAGAAAAGGAGAGGAGAUUACAGUGGAAAGCAGUCACAGAAGCCUGAUCAAGCAGACAGAGUGUUCCUAUGGCAGCUGUAUUUGUGGGGUGUCUUGGAGUCUUAAAGGGAAUGAAGCCUCUGGUUCCCUCCUGCAUUUCUUUGGCCUGCCUAGCACUCCUGGAGUGGACAAAAUUUGGAUAAUCCCACCUUCUCUUGAAGUACUGAAUGCUGCUCAGAGGUUUG
This is a long non-coding RNA of Tupaia belangeri chinensis (Chinese tree shrew), 297 nucleotides long. RefSeq lists it as uncharacterized. The transcript has 3 exons. The record is from RefSeq and is a predicted model, not a curated record. Lineage: Eukaryota; Metazoa; Chordata; Mammalia; Scandentia; Tupaiidae.